UACGGGGGGAGCAAGCGUUGUUCGGAUUUACUGGGCGUAAAGGGCGCGUAGGCGGUCAGCACAAGUCAGUUGUGAAAUCUCCGGGCUUAACUCGGAAAGGUCAACUGAUACUGUGCGACUAGAGUGCGGAAGGGGCAACUGGAAUUCUCGGUGUAGCGGUGAAAUGCGUAGAGAUCGGGAGGAGCAUCCGUGGCGAAGGCGGCCAUCUGGACCAACACUGACGUUGAGGCACGAAAGCGUGGGGAGCAAACAGG
Molecule: ribosomal RNA, 254 nt
Filed under: uncultured bacterium
Lineage: Bacteria
Description: partial 16S ribosomal RNA
Rfam family: Bacterial small subunit ribosomal RNA
Source: RNAcentral